GCCGGGCGUUGUGGCGGGCCCCUGUAGUCCCAGCUACUUGGGAGGCGGAGGCAGGAGACUCGCUUGAGCCCAGGAGUUGGAGGUUGCUGUGAGCAUGAUGCCAUGGCACUCUACCCAGGGGAAUAGCUUGAGGCUCCGUCUCAAAAAAAAAAAAAAAAAGAAGACAGAGUCUCACUAUGUCGCCCUGGAUAGAGUGCUAUAGCAUCAUAGCUCACAGCAAUUUCAAACUGUUGGGCUUAAGCGAUUCUCUUGCC
Molecule: small RNA, 254 nt
Filed under: Otolemur garnettii (small-eared galago)
Lineage: Eukaryota; Metazoa; Chordata; Mammalia; Primates; Galagidae
Description: Metazoan signal recognition particle RNA (ENSOGAG00000024706.1)
Source: RNAcentral